This 253-nucleotide ribosomal RNA is filed under the name uncultured bacterium. RNAcentral's name for it is "partial 16S ribosomal RNA". It matches the Rfam family "Bacterial small subunit ribosomal RNA", at positions 524 to 776 of the family's 1533-position model. The record is from RNAcentral.
UACGAAGGGAGCUAGCGUUGUUCGGAAUCACUGGGCGUAAAGCGCACGUAGGCGGAUGUGUCAGUCAGGGGUGAAAUCCCGGAGCUCAACUUCGGAACUGCCUUUGAUACAGCACAUCUGGAGUCCGGAAGAGGUGAGUGGAAUUCCGAGUGUAGAGGUGAAAUUCGUAGAUAUUCGGAGGAACACCAGUGGCGAAGGCGGCUCACUGGUCCGGUACUGACGCUGAGGUGCGAAAGCGUGGGGAGCAAACAGG